ACGUACACUCCUACGGGAGGCAGCAGUGGGGAAUAUUGGACAAUGGGCGCAAGCCUGAUCCAGUCAUGCCGCGUGAGUGAUGAAGGCCCUAGGGUUGUAAAGCUCUUUCACCGGUGAAGAUAAUGACGGUAACCGGAGAAGAAGCCCCGGCUAACUUCGUGCCAGCAGCCGCGGUAAUACGAAGGGGGCUAGCGUUGUUCGGAUUUACUGGGCGUAAAGCGCACGUAGGCGGACUAUUAAGUCAGGGGUGAAAUCCCGGGGCUCAACCCCGGAACUGCCUUUGAUACUGGUAGUCUUGAGUUCGAGAGAGGUGAGUGGAAUUCCGAGUGUAGAGGUGAAAUUCGUAGAUAUUCGGAGGAACACCAGUGGCGAAGGCGGCUCACUGGCUCGAUACUGACGCUGAGGUGCGAAAGCGUGGGGAGCAAACAGGAUUAGAUACCCCUGUAGUCCCA
This 452-nucleotide ribosomal RNA is filed under the name uncultured organism. Its description in RNAcentral is "partial 16S ribosomal RNA". It matches the Rfam family "Bacterial small subunit ribosomal RNA", at positions 329 to 797 of the family's 1533-position model. The record is from RNAcentral.